Molecule: ribosomal RNA, 301 nt
Filed under: uncultured bacterium
Lineage: Bacteria
Description: partial 16S ribosomal RNA
Rfam family: Bacterial small subunit ribosomal RNA
Source: RNAcentral
CAGCAGCCGCGGGAAUACGAGGGGGGCAAGCGUUGUUCGGAAUUAUCGGGCGUAAAGGGCGCGUAGGCGGUUUGGCAAGUUUGGUGUGAAAUCUUCGGGCUCAACUCGAAGUCUGCAUCGAAAACUGCCGGGCUUGAGUAUGGGAGAGGUGAGUGGAAUUUCCGGUGUAGCGGUGAAAUGCGUAGAUAUCGGAAGGAACACCUGUGGCGAAAGCGGCUCACUGGACCAUUUCUGACGCUGAUGCACGAAAGCUAGGGGAGCAAACAGGAUUAGAGACCCCCGUAGUCCCUGUCUCUUAUAC